UACGAAGGGGGCUAGCGUUGUUCGGAUUUACUGGGCGUAAAGCGCACGUAGGCGGAUCGUUAAGUGAGGGGUGAAAUCCCAGGGCUCAACCCUGGAACUGCCUUUCAUACUGGCGAUCUUGAGUCCGGAAGAGGUGAGUGGAACUCCUAGUGUAGAGGUGGAAUUCGUAGAUAUUUAGGAAGAACACCAGUGGCGAAGGCGGCUCACUGGUCCGGUACUGACGCUGAGGUGCGAAAGCGUGGGGAGCAAACGG
Molecule: ribosomal RNA, 253 nt
Filed under: uncultured bacterium
Lineage: Bacteria
Description: partial 16S ribosomal RNA
Rfam family: Bacterial small subunit ribosomal RNA
Source: RNAcentral